RNAcentral lists this ribosomal RNA (2901 nucleotides) under Escherichia coli. RNAcentral describes it as "bacterial LSU rRNA". It matches the Rfam family "Bacterial large subunit ribosomal RNA". RNAcentral also lists the same sequence under 1 other name. The record is from RNAcentral. Lineage: Bacteria; Pseudomonadati; Pseudomonadota; Gammaproteobacteria; Enterobacterales; Enterobacteriaceae.
UUAAGCGACUAAGCGUACACGGUGGAUGCCCUGGCAGUCAGAGGCGAUGAAGGACGUGCUAAUCUGCGAUAAGCGUCGGUAAGGUGAUAUGAACCGUUAUAACCGGCGAUUUCCGAAUGGGGAAACCCAGUGUGUUUCGACACACUAUCAUUAACUGAAUCCAUAGGUUAAUGAGGCGAACCGGGGGAACUGAAACAUCUAAGUACCCCGAGGAAAAGAAAUCAACCGAGAUUCCCCCAGUAGCGGCGAGCGAACGGGGAGCAGCCCAGAGCCUGAAUCAGUGUGUGUGUUAGUGGAAGCGUCUGGAAAGGCGCGCGAUACAGGGUGACAGCCCCGUACACAAAAAUGCACAUGCUGUGAGCUCGAUGAGUAGGGCGGGACACGUGGUAUCCUGUCUGAAUAUGGGGGGACCAUCCUCCAAGGCUAAAUACUCCUGACUGACCGAUAGUGAACCAGUACCGUGAGGGAAAGGCGAAAAGAACCCCGGCGAGGGGAGUGAAAAAGAACCUGAAACCGUGUACGUACAAGCAGUGGGAGCACGCUUAGGCGUGUGACUGCGUACCUUUUGUAUAAUGGGUCAGCGACUUAUAUUCUGUAGCAAGGUUAACCGAAUAGGGGAGCCGAAGGGAAACCGAGUCUUAACUGGGCGUUAAGUUGCAGGGUAUAGACCCGAAACCCGGUGAUCUAGCCAUGGGCAGGUUGAAGGUUGGGUAACACUAACUGGAGGACCGAACCGACUAAUGUUGAAAAAUUAGCGGAUGACUUGUGGCUGGGGGUGAAAGGCCAAUCAAACCGGGAGAUAGCUGGUUCUCCCCGAAAGCUAUUUAGGUAGCGCCUCGUGAAUUCAUCUCCGGGGGUAGAGCACUGUUUCGGCAAGGGGGUCAUCCCGACUUACCAACCCGAUGCAAACUGCGAAUACCGGAGAAUGUUAUCACGGGAGACACACGGCGGGUGCUAACGUCCGUCGUGAAGAGGGAAACAACCCAGACCGCCAGCUAAGGUCCCAAAGUCAUGGUUAAGUGGGAAACGAUGUGGGAAGGCCCAGACAGCCAGGAUGUUGGCUUAGAAGCAGCCAUCAUUUAAAGAAAGCGUAAUAGCUCACUGGUCGAGUCGGCCUGCGCGGAAGAUGUAACGGGGCUAAACCAUGCACCGAAGCUGCGGCAGCGACACUAUGUGUUGUUGGGUAGGGGAGCGUUCUGUAAGCCUGUGAAGGUGUGCUGUGAGGCAUGCUGGAGGUAUCAGAAGUGCGAAUGCUGACAUAAGUAACGAUAAAGCGGGUGAAAAGCCCGCUCGCCGGAAGACCAAGGGUUCCUGUCCAACGUUAAUCGGGGCAGGGUGAGUCGACCCCUAAGGCGAGGCCGAAAGGCGUAGUCGAUGGGAAACAGGUUAAUAUUCCUGUACUUGGUGUUACUGCGAAGGGGGGACGGAGAAGGCUAUGUUGGCCGGGCGACGGUUGUCCCGGUUUAAGCGUGUAGGCUGGUUUUCCAGGCAAAUCCGGAAAAUCAAGGCUGAGGCGUGAUGACGAGGCACUACGGUGCUGAAGCAACAAAUGCCCUGCUUCCAGGAAAAGCCUCUAAGCAUCAGGUAACAUCAAAUCGUACCCCAAACCGACACAGGUGGUCAGGUAGAGAAUACCAAGGCGCUUGAGAGAACUCGGGUGAAGGAACUAGGCAAAAUGGUGCCGUAACUUCGGGAGAAGGCACGCUGAUAUGUAGGUGAAGUCCCUCGCGGAUGGAGCUGAAAUCAGUCGAAGAUACCAGCUGGCUGCAACUGUUUAUUAAAAACACAGCACUGUGCAAACACGAAAGUGGACGUAUACGGUGUGACGCCUGCCCGGUGCCGGAAGGUUAAUUGAUGGGGUUAGCGCAAGCGAAGCUCUUGAUCGAAGCCCCGGUAAACGGCGGCCGUAACUAUAACGGUCCUAAGGUAGCGAAAUUCCUUGUCGGGUAAGUUCCGACCUGCACGAAUGGCGUAAUGAUGGCCAGGCUGUCUCCACCCGAGACUCAGUGAAAUUGAACUCGCUGUGAAGAUGCAGUGUACCCGCGGCAAGACGGAAAGACCCCGUGAACCUUUACUAUAGCUUGACACUGAACAUUGAGCCUUGAUGUGUAGGAUAGGUGGGAGGCUUAGAAGUGUGGACGCCAGUCUGCAUGGAGCCGACCUUGAAAUACCACCCUUUAAUGUUUGAUGUUCUAACGUUGACCCGUAAUCCGGGUUGCGGACAGUGUCUGGUGGGUAGUUUGACUGGGGCGGUCUCCUCCUAAAGAGUAACGGAGGAGCACGAAGGUUGGCUAAUCCUGGUCGGACAUCAGGAGGUUAGUGCAAUGGCAUAAGCCAGCUUGACUGCGAGCGUGACGGCGCGAGCAGGUGCGAAAGCAGGUCAUAGUGAUCCGGUGGUUCUGAAUGGAAGGGCCAUCGCUCAACGGAUAAAAGGUACUCCGGGGAUAACAGGCUGAUACCGCCCAAGAGUUCAUAUCGACGGCGGUGUUUGGCACCUCGAUGUCGGCUCAUCACAUCCUGGGGCUGAAGUAGGUCCCAAGGGUAUGGCUGUUCGCCAUUUAAAGUGGUACGCGAGCUGGGUUUAGAACGUCGUGAGACAGUUCGGUCCCUAUCUGCCGUGGGCGCUGGAGAACUGAGGGGGGCUGCUCCUAGUACGAGAGGACCGGAGUGGACGCAUCACUGGUGUUCGGGUUGUCAUGCCAAUGGCACUGCCCGGUAGCUAAAUGCGGAAGAGAUAAGUGCUGAAAGCAUCUAAGCACGAAACUUGCCCCGAGAUGAGUUCUCCCUGACCCUUUAAGGGUCCUGAAGGAACGUUGAAGACGACGACGUUGAUAGGCCGGGUGUGUAAGCGCAGCGAUGCGUUGAGCUAACCGGUACUAAUGAACCGUGAGGCUUAACCUU